Molecule: long non-coding RNA, 569 nt
Organism: Raphanus sativus (radish)
Lineage: Eukaryota; Viridiplantae; Streptophyta; Magnoliopsida; Brassicales; Brassicaceae
Exons: 3
Source: RefSeq, a predicted model, not a curated record
CGUUAAUCUUCUCAAGAGAAUAUUUAACUUACAGUGCCAUUAAUUUAAGUUCAUUUUUACUUGCACAUACACUCGGUUCUUUGCAAAGUAUCUUGACUCUCUUUCAAAGUGUGAUGAAAUUUCAAUUUCUAACCAAAUCGAUCAGAACUUUCCAAUGGUCGUAUCUACACUGUCAAGAGUAAUUCUGGAUUCAGAUCAACGUGGUCUCUGGCCAAACGGUGGCAAAACAAUGGUCUUCAAAAGAAAUUCUUGUGAACUGAGAAAAAGAAAACUUUGAUAUAGAUGACCGGUAAACAAAGCAAGCGCACUGCAGAAUUGGAGAUGAAGAUAUAGACAAAAACUACAUAUUACAUGAAGAAAGAUGCAAUGUUAACAAAAUAGAGAACGAGAGUUAGGGAACACCCUUACAAGGCCCGAAGAAACUUUAGAAGCACCACAAGGAAAAAUAAAGGAAAAUGUGGUAAUAACUGCUACUAGAAGUCAAAUUAAAGAAAAAAGCAGGUUUAAGAAACUGGGAUGAUAGGGGAGACAAGAAGACUCAUGUCUACUAUCUACUGACGUAAUUUCAU